UCAGGUGGUUAUUGCGGCGGGGUUCCACCUCUUCCCAUUCCGAACAGAGAAGUUAAGCCCGCCUGCGCCGAUGGUACUGCAAUGCAAUGCGGGAGAGUAGGUGGCCGCCUCCU
RNAcentral lists this ribosomal RNA (113 nucleotides) under Prevotella multiformis. RNAcentral also lists the same sequence under 1 other name. The record is from RNAcentral. Lineage: Bacteria; Pseudomonadati; Bacteroidota; Bacteroidia; Bacteroidales; Prevotellaceae.